GCCUGGGUGGCUCAGUCGGUUGAGCAUCUGACUUUGGCUCAGGCCAUGAUCUCAUGGUUCAUGGGUUCGAGUCCCGUGUCGGGCU
Molecule: non-coding RNA, 85 nt
Organism: Leopardus geoffroyi (Geoffroy's cat)
Lineage: Eukaryota; Metazoa; Chordata; Mammalia; Carnivora; Felidae
Source: the annotation of a RefSeq genome assembly